RNAcentral lists this transfer-messenger RNA (382 nucleotides) under Shewanellaceae. RNAcentral's name for it is "Shewanella sp024363255 Standard tmRNA". It matches the Rfam family "transfer-messenger RNA". Rfam says of the family: Bacterial tmRNA, also known as 10Sa RNA or SsrA, is named for its dual tRNA and mRNA-like properties. Its role is to liberate the mRNA from a stalled ribosome. The record is from RNAcentral. RNAcentral also lists the same sequence under 1 other name. Lineage: Bacteria; Pseudomonadati; Pseudomonadota; Gammaproteobacteria; Alteromonadales.
GGGGGCGAUUCUGGAUUCGACGGGAUUCGCGAAACUCCGGGAGCAUGCCGAGGGGCGGUUGGCCUCGUUAAAAGCCGCACAGUUAUAGUUGCAAACGACGAUAACUACAACGGAGUUGCUCUAGCAGCAUAAUUCUAGCCCUAAUCGGCUAGAUCUCCCCAUCAGCCACAUGCUUAGCACAUGGGUAGUGGAAUCUGAUGGUCAUCUAACAUGAUGCUAGCGAGGGAACCUUGUUCGGGGGUGAACCGCGAAACAGUACCGGACUCACCAAUUAAAAUCCUGUCUUUCGGAGGUUGAUUGGUUAAACAAAAGAGAGACUAAGCAUGUAGCGCCUUGAGCGUAGGUUUUUCGGACGCGGGUUCAAAUCCCGCCGCCUCCACCA